GGCUCAGAUUGAACGCUGGCGGCAGGCCUAACACAUGCAAGUCGAACGGUAACAGGAAGAAGCUUGCUUCUUUGCUGACGAGUGGCGGACGGGUGAGUAAUGUCUGGGAAACUGCCUGAUGGAGGGGGAUAACUACUGGAAACGGUAGCUAAUACCGCAUAACGUCGCAAGACCAAAGAGGGGGACCUUCGGGCCUCUUGCCAUCGGAUGUGCCCAGAUGGGAUUAGCUUGUUGGUGGGGUAACGGCUCACCAAGGCGACGAUCCCUAGCUGGUCUGAGAGGAUGACCAGCCACACUGGAACUGAGACACGGUCCAGACUCCUACGGGAGGCAGCAGUGGGGAAUAUUGCACAAUGGGCGCAAGCCUGAUGCAGCCAUGCCGCCGUGUAUGAAGAAGGCCUUCGGGUUGUAAAGUACUUUCAGCGGGGAGGAAGGGAGUAAAGUUAAUACCUUUGCUCAUUGACGUUACCCGCAGAAGAAGCACCGGCUAACUCCGUGCCAGCAGCGGC
This 509-nucleotide ribosomal RNA is filed under the name uncultured bacterium. Its description in RNAcentral is "bacterial SSU rRNA". It matches the Rfam family "Bacterial small subunit ribosomal RNA", at positions 21 to 518 of the family's 1533-position model. The record is from RNAcentral.